RNAcentral lists this long non-coding RNA (2653 nucleotides) under Solanum pimpinellifolium. RNAcentral's name for it is "long non-coding RNA (SPIM_LNC000210)". Lineage: Eukaryota; Viridiplantae; Streptophyta; Magnoliopsida; Solanales; Solanaceae. The record is from RNAcentral.
GGGCAUUCACGAAUCGGUACAUGAAAUUUUAAUGAAUUUGAAAGAAAUUGUAUUGAGAAGUAAAUUAUAUGGAACUUCUGACGCGUCUAUUUGUGUCAAGGGUCCUGGAUAUGUAACUGCUCAAGAUAUCAUCUUGCCACCUUAUGUGGAAAUCGUUGAUAAUACACAACAUAUAGCUAGUUUAACGGAACCAAUCGAUUUUUGUAUUGGAUUACAAAUAGAGAGAAAUCGUGGAUAUCUUAUAAAAACGCCACAUAACUUUCAAGAUGGAAGUUAUCCUAUAGAUGCUGUAUUCAUGCCUGUUCGAAACGCGAAUCAUAGUAUUCAUUCUUAUGGGAAUGGGAAUGAAAAACAAGAGAUACUUUUUAUCGAAAUAUGGACAAACGGAAGUUUAACUCCGAAAGAAGCACUUCAUGAAGCAUCCCGAAAUUUAAUUGAUUUAUUUAUUCCCUUUUUACAUAUGGAGGAAGACAACUUAUAUUUACAGGACAAUCAACACACGGUUCCUUUAUCCCCUUUUACCUUUCAUGAUAAAUUGGCUAAACUCCUAAAAAACAAAAACAAAAUAGCAUUGAAAUCGAUUUUUAUUGACCAAUCAGAAUUGUCUUCCAGGAUCUAUAAUUGUCUCAAAAGGUCCAAUAUAUAUACAUUAGUGGACCUUUUGAAUAAUAGCCAAGAAGAUCUUAUGAAAAUUGAACAUUUUCGUAGCGAAGAUAUAAAACAGAUAUUGGGCAUUUUAGAAAAAUAUUUCGUAAUUGAUUUAGCAAAAAAUAAGUUUUAAAUCUAUUGGACUGACUUAGUGAAAAUAGAUUGAAAAAGCACAAUUUAGCACAAUUAAUAUUCUAAAAAGAAAUUCAUAAUUAAAUUGAAUAGAUGUAUCUAGGGAGAAUUCGCUUUGAAGAAACUAUUCCCUAGAUACACAUGUCGUGUUAGUUCACAAUUGAAUCAAUUAAAAAAUUUAAAAAAGACCUAAAGUUAGGGAUUUAUCAAUAGGUAAUGUUGCACCAAUGCCCAACCAAAGGGCAACUGCGGUACCAAUCAAAAAGACAGUCGUCGCUACUGGACGACGAAAUGGAUUUUGGAAUUUAUUAACAUUCUCUAAAAAAGGUACUGUUAAUAAUCCCACAGGUACUGAAACCAUUAAAAGAACUCCCAAUAAUUUAUUGGGCACUGUACGAAGUAUUUGAAAUACAGGAAAGAAAUACCAUUCAGGUAAGAUUUCCAAAGGGGUUGCAAAUGGAUCCGCCGGUUCACCAAUCAUUGAUGGUUCUAAAACGGCUAAGCCUACAUUACAUGCAAUAGUACCUAGAAUUACUACUGGAAAAAUAUAUAAAAGAUCAUUGGGCCAUGCGGGCUCGCCAUAAUAAUUAUGACCCAUACCCUUAGCCAAUUUAGCUCUUAAUACAGGAUCAUUCAAGUCAGGUUUUUUUGUUAUUGGGAUAGGUGAAUUCUUAUAGAUCCAUCCCCCGAGGGAACUGGACAUGAUAAUUUUUAAUCAUCCAGCUCGAGCAAGAAUAAAAAGAACCAAACGAAUCCAUAUAAAAUAUAUAUAUGGUACCUGUAUUUACACAUACACAUAUAUGAUAUAGAAAUGGUUCAAUGUAAGAAAACUUUGACUGAAUUCUUUUUUAUGAAGUUGCAACUNUAAAUAUCUCUGACUCAUAUUUAUGAGAUGAUAAAAUACGGCAAAAGCUAUACCAAAAAUUAGUUCACGUCGGAAUGGACGUAUUGGUUCAUGUAAGGGUGCACAUAGAAUACCAAAGGGAGUUAUUUAUGUUUAAGCAAGUUUCAGUAAUACCAUUGUCACUGUUACAGAUGUAUGGGGUCAAGUAGUUUCUUGGUCCUCAAUGGGUACUUCUGGAUUCAAAGGUACGAAAAGAGGAACACCGUUUGUUGCUCAAACCGUAGCAGCAAACGCUAUCUGUACAGUAGUGAAUCAAGGUAUGCAACAAGCAGAAGUCAUGAUAAAAGGUCCUGGUCUCGAAAAAAAUGCAACAUUACAAGCUAUUCGUCGAAGUAGUAUACUAUUAACUUUCAUACGGGAUGUAACUCUGAUGCCACAUAAUGGUUGUAGACCUCCGAAAAAAGACGUGUGUAGAACUAAACAUUGAAUAAAUCUCAAGAGAAAUAAAAGAUUCGAUGAUAUAAUCAAAUAAUUGUACUAUGGUUCGAGAGAAAGUAACAGUAUCUACUCGGACACUACAACAGAAGUGUGUUGAAUCAAGAACAGACAGUAAACGCCUUUAUUAUAGAUGUUUUAUUCUGUCUCCACUUAUGAAAGGUCAAGCCAACACAAUAGGCAUUGCAAUGCGAAGAGCUUUACUUGGGGAAAUAGAAGGAACAUGCAUCACACGUGUAAAAUCUGAGAUAGUCCCACAUAAAUAUUCUACCAUAAUAAGCAUUCAAGAAUCGGUACAUAAAAUUUUAAUGAAUUUGAAAGAAAUUGUAUUGAGAAGUAAAUUAUAUGGAACUUCUGACGCAUCUAUUUGUGUCAAGGGUCCUGGAUAUGUAACUGCUCAAGAUAUCAUCUUGCCACCUUAUGUGGAAAUCGUUGAUAAUACACAACAUAUAGCUAGUUUAACGGAACCAAUCGAUUUUUGUAUUGGAUUACAAAUAGAGAGAAAUCGUGGAUAUCUUAUAAAAACGCCACAUA